RNAcentral lists this transfer RNA (84 nucleotides) under Elusimicrobiota bacterium. RNAcentral describes it as "tRNA-Tyr". It matches the Rfam family "tRNA". Rfam says of the family: Transfer RNA (tRNA) molecules are approximately 80 nucleotides in length. The record is from RNAcentral. Lineage: Bacteria; Pseudomonadati; Elusimicrobiota.
GGACAGGUGGCCGAGCGGCUAAAGGCAACAGACUGUAAAUCUGUCGAACUAUGUUCUACGAAGAUUAGAAUCCUUCCCCGUCCA